CAGCACGGUACCCCAACAGUUGCCAACCAUGGAAAAUAAGAAGAAGAUUGAAGACGUUGACCAGGUGUGCUGGAAACAUCAGGAUGAUGAUGGACUCAAAGAAGAAGAAGAAGAGAGCGAGGAGAUGAAGAUGGAGAAGUUUUAUUCGUUGAUUCGGAGCUACCACGAAGCUCGUAAUCGUCUAAGAUUAAGGAACGCAACACGGCCGCCGCCGCCGCCACCACAAGUUCAUAGUGAUGAUCAUGAAGUAUUGUCGGUCAACAAGGUCAACAGCAACAAGAGAAGAAAGAAAAUGGGUGGUGAUGAUGAUGAUGCAGGAGGAGGAGGAGGUGGAGGGAAAAUUUGGGUGCCAAGUUUUGAGGUGGGGGAUUUUGCCAACGAGGUGGAGUUUCGACGUUCUCUCUAUUCUUGUAAUAAUAUUAUUACUAGUACAGGAAGUACUGCUAGUUCUGCAGAACAAAAACAAGAUGAUGGAAAGAACGAGUUCCUGGACUUGAGGCUCACCCUAUAGACCAGUGUGUGAUUUGCAAGUACAUCUUAAAUUAACCUGUAAUUAACUAAUUGAAGUUUCUUGAUGUGUUAAAUUAGGGUUCUCAGUUCUUGAUGAUGUUUAAUUUGAAUGUUAAUAUUUUGAUCUUUACUCUCUCCUGAAAUAUGAAUCCAAGAUGGAUGAAUUGGUUACUUGAGGGAGGCAGCCGCAGAAGAACCUCCGACUCGGUUCCUUGAGAAAACAGGCGAAAUGAUUUUAGGUAGGGAUAACUAAUUAGGGGGAUGCACCGUGCAUUUUGUGCUUUUGGCGCAAGAAAUGUUUGUUUUAUGAUUUAAUCACGCCCCAUGACAUCCGGCAAUCAUAAGUUUGCGACUUUUUUUAUUUUAAUUUUAUUUUAAUUUUUUUUAUGUUAAAGAACAUAAUAAACCAAAGAAUAAAAAACAGAAUCGACAGGGAAAAAAAAAAGAAAUAAAAUAUAACAAGGAAAUUAAACAAGAAAAUUUUAACAAAAAGCUUCCGGUACUGUUCAUUUUAACGAAAAAUCACAUUUUACACUAAAAAGUCAAUCCUGACACUAUUCACUUUACCUUUUAUUUUGUCCUUAUCGUUAAAAUUCAAAGUUUUCAAACCAUUUUCAUUAUUUUUCCUAUUAAACAAAUGCCCCUUAUAUGAAUAAUGUGUGUUUUUAGGCAGUGGAAUUGUACAUGCGAUGCAUGCAUUCGGAGGAGUGCAGAAGAAGAAAAAAAUAUAGAAAAGACGGUUUUCUUGAUAGUAAUAUGCAUAGAUUAUUUUAUUAUUCACUUAUAUUGCAUCACGGGAAUGAAGAAUAUCAUGUGACACUUUAUGAUAGCCACAAAACAAAAAUCGUCUUGUCUUCCAAAAACACAAAAAAAACAAAAAUCGUCUUAAUUGUCAGACCCUAAAUGCUUUUCUAGUGGUUGAAAUACAUUCGU
This 1443-nucleotide long non-coding RNA is filed under the name Malus domestica (apple). RNAcentral's name for it is "long non-coding RNA (MDOM_LNC017855)". The record is from RNAcentral. Lineage: Eukaryota; Viridiplantae; Streptophyta; Magnoliopsida; Rosales; Rosaceae.